Molecule: ribosomal RNA, 485 nt
Filed under: uncultured bacterium
Lineage: Bacteria
Description: bacterial SSU rRNA
Rfam family: Bacterial small subunit ribosomal RNA
Source: RNAcentral
GAUGAACGCUGGCGGCGUGCCUAACACAUGCAAGUCGAGCGAUUCUCUUCGGAGAAGAGCGGCGGACGGGUGAGUAACGCGUGGGUAACCUGCCCUGUACACACGGAUAACAUACCGAAAGGUAUGCUAAUACGGGAUAACAUAAGAAAUUCGCAUGUUUUUCUUAUCAAAGCUCCGGCGGUACAGGAUGGACCCGCGUCUGAUUAGCUAGUUGGUGAGGUAACGGCUCACCAAGGCGACGAUCAGUAGCCGACCUGAGAGGGUGAUCGGCCACAUUGGAACUGAGACACGGUCCAAACUCCUACGGGAGGCAGCAGUGGGGAAUAUUGCACAAUGGGCGAAAGCCUGAUGCAGCAACGCCGCGUGAGCGAUGAAGGCCUUCGGGUCGUAAAGCACUGUCGAGAGGGAGAAAGGGAAACGUUAGAUCUAUCUCUGGAGGAAGCACGGGCUAAGUUCGUGCCAGCAGCCGCGGUAACUGUAGUCGU